GAUGAACGCUGGCGGCGUGCUUAACACAUGCAAGUCGAACGGAAAGGCCCAAGCUUGCUUGGGUACUCGAGUGGCGAACGGGUGGGUAACACGUGGGUGAUCUGCCCUGCACUUCGGGAUAAGCCUGGGAAACUGGGCCUAAUAUCGGAUAGGACGCUGGUUUGGAUGCCAUUGUGGAAAGUUUUUUCGGUGUGGGAUGAGCUCGCGGCCUAUCAGCUUGUUGGUGGGGUAAUGGCCUACCAAGGCGUCGACGGGUAGCCGGCCUGAGAGGGUGUACAGCCACAUUAGAACUGAGAGACAGCCCGGAGUCGGACGGAAGGGAGCAGGGGCGAAGAUUGCACAAUGGGCGAAAGCGUGAUGCAACAACGCCGUGUGGGUGAUGACGGCCUUCGGGUUGUAAGCACCUUUCGCUAGGAACGAAGCGUUGUUGUGACGGUACCUGAAGAAGAAGCACCGGCUAACUACGUG
Molecule: ribosomal RNA, 468 nt
Filed under: uncultured bacterium
Lineage: Bacteria
Description: partial 16S ribosomal RNA
Rfam family: Bacterial small subunit ribosomal RNA
Source: RNAcentral